CGGAUUCUGGCUCAGGAUGAACGCUAGCGACAGGCUUAACACAUGCAAGGUCGAGGGGCAGCAUAAAAGUAGCAAUACUUGGUGGCGACCGGCGCACGGGUGAGUAACGCGUAUGCAACCUACCUAUCGAGAGGGGAAUAACCCGGCGAAAGUCGGACUAAUACCGCAUAAAACAGGGGCACCGCAUGGUGAUAUUUGUUAAAGAAAUUCGCUGAUAGAUGGGCAUGCGUUCCAUUAGGUAGUUGGUGAGGUAACGGCUCACCAAGCCGACGAUGGAUAGGGGAACUGAGAGGUUGGUCCCCCACACUGGUACUGAGACACGGACCAGACUCCUACGGGAGGCAGCAGUGAGGAAUAUUGGUCAAUGGGCGGGAGCCUGAACCAGCCAAGUCGCGUGAAGGAAGAAUGUCCUAAUGGAUUGUAAACUGCUUUUGCAGGGGAAUAAAGUGCAUCACGUGUGAUGUUUUGUAUGUACUCUGCGAAUAAGGAUCGGCUAACUCCGUGCCAGCCGCUGC
Molecule: ribosomal RNA, 515 nt
Filed under: uncultured bacterium
Lineage: Bacteria
Description: bacterial SSU rRNA
Rfam family: Bacterial small subunit ribosomal RNA
Source: RNAcentral